UGGGGAAUUUUGGACAAUGGGGGAAACCCUGAUCCAGCCAUCCCGCGUGUGCGAUGAAGGCCUUCGGGCUGUAAAGCACUUUUGGCAGGAAAGAAACGUCAUGGGUUAAUACCCCGUGAAACUGACGGUACCUGCAGAAUAAGCACCGGCUAACUACGUGCCAGCAGCCGCGGUAAUACGUAGGGUGCAAGCGUUAAUCGGAAUUACUGGGCGUAAAGCGUGCGCAGGCGGUUCGGAAAGAAAGAUGUGAAAUCCCAGAGCUCAACUUUGGAACUGCAUUUUUAACUACCGGGCUAGAGUGUGUCAUGGGGAGGUGGAAUUCCGCGUGUGGCAGUGAAAUGCGUAGAUAUGCGGAGGAACACCGAUGGCGAAGGCAGCCUCCUGGGAUAACACUGACGCUCAUGCACGAAAGCGUGGGGAGCAAACAGG
This 429-nucleotide ribosomal RNA is filed under the name Acidobacteriota bacterium. RNAcentral's name for it is "Acidobacteria bacterium partial 16S ribosomal RNA". It matches the Rfam family "Bacterial small subunit ribosomal RNA", at positions 355 to 776 of the family's 1533-position model. The record is from RNAcentral. Lineage: Bacteria; Pseudomonadati; Acidobacteriota.